CUCCUGCCCCCCCCCCCCCCCCCCCGCUCGCUCCCCUCCCACCCUCCCGCUCUCCCGCCGCGCGAUACGCGCACGCGCACUCGCCCCCGCCCCGCCGCCGGGGCUGUUGACGCGAAGCCCUUCGGCUUUGCGGCCUCGAGUCCGCGCUCCGGUCUGCUCCGACGAGGUCUGGAUCCCGCUCCCCCGCAAUGGCACGCGCCGGACUUGCGGGUCACGUCCCGCCACCCUCCACUCCCCACCCCCACGGUGUAUUCGCCAGCCGCCACAGGAGGCUGAGCGUGUGUUCCUACGUUUACCCGGGACCUCCUCGCCCCCGCCCUCUCCGCGGUUCUCUCUUGCCUCUCACACCACCCAGGUCCCCGUGCCCUCCCUGCAACGGUCCUCUUCCGCUCUCACUCCCACCGUCACGCUUCAGGAGCGCCGCCUGGCGCUGCGCUCCCCCGACCUGGGCGUCUCCGCCCACACGAGCCCCUCCUGCCGCGUCCUCGCCUGAACCUGUGCCUGCGCCCCCUAAUUGCCGCCUCGGCCCCCCCACCCCUCAACGCGAGCGCACUCGCGUAGGGGCGUCGCUACGCUUCCCGACAGUCUGGGAGCCCGGGGCGCCUCUCUGAGUGUUGGGCGAGGGGGCGGGCCUGUCUGCGGCGCGGUCCCGCUCGCCCUCUUGGGCGCCUCUUCGGUCCACCUGCCCCACAAGCUUUUGUUUCCGGUGCGGUUGUGGGCUCCCCUCGCGCUUUCUCGCCUUGUUCUUUAGUGUGUUUCUCCUCUGAACAGGGUUCCUCCAGCACCUUCCUUCGUGGUGGUAAACAUCUUUAGGUGUGGUUGACGCCAAGCCCCCAGGUUCAGUCAGGCACGGUUGUAAACGUUGGCUGACACACUCAAGACGUCCCUUCCCAGGAUCCUCAAUUGAGCCUGGAAUCGUGGAAGCUGAUAAAGGAGAAACUAAAAACCACACAUGAGCUCAUAUUGCACAGAUCGCUAUUUCAUCCUUCUCUCUCGUCACAUGUCAAUUCUCCAGAGACACCUUCUUGGCCCUUCUUCCCAGACUAGGUGAGCUUCUCCUGUAAUAUGUCCUUAUAACACCACAAGGCUCAUUAUCAGGACAUUUAAUGCAGUUUGUAGUUUUGCUUUUGUUUAUGUAAUUAUUUGCUCAAUGAUUCUCUUCUCUAGUGGAAUAGAAACCCCAUAAGGGCAGGAACCAAGUCAGUUUUUGCUUAGCAUUGUACCUCCUGCAGUCAUUGAUAACUAUUCAUUGAAUGAAUAAGAUGAAUGAUUCUGAAAACACAAAGGAAUUAAUUUUAAAUGUAACAGAUUAAAUAGUAAGAAUUAAAUCUUUUUUGAGUGAUAGGUCAUAUAUUAAAUUUUAAGGUAAAUUUUUUUUGACUCAAGACUUCCCUCUUCUAUUGUAAACUUCUUAACACACUCUGAAUAUCUCAAUGUAUAAUCCUUUUAAUUUUCUCAGUAGCCAAUAACAAAAGGGUAUGAUCUGGUCUUGAAACCCAUCCCUGGGUCUUGAAACUAGGCCCCACUGCAGUGCGUGGCAGCCAGAGCCUGCUGCCCUGGGAUAUUGCCCUGGCUGCUCCCCUUCCCACCAUACUUACCACACUCCCUUGCAUCUAUGACCUUCUGGUCUUCCCAGCUACCUUGCCUUCAAGUCAGAGCCUAUCACUGACGCUUGCUUGAGGCAAUUCUUCAGACUUUUUUUGCUUCACCCUUGGAUUUUGUAUCCCUACAGCUUCAGCAGGACUGGUGAGUGGGGAGUGGGGUGGUGAUGCUGAUGGCGGAGCUGAUUCCUAGUCCCUGGCAAGAGCAGAGUUUAUGUAGCUCUGAUCUGGAAUCCAAACUACCUAGAAGAAAGAACAGGGAGUGGGGGAGCUGUGUGGAAGGAUGAGAUGCUAGUAUUAUUUCCAGUGUGUUUUGGGGAAGUGAUUAAAUGCCAGGCCUACUUACUCUGAAUUUCUGAAACUGGCCCAGAAAUCUGCAUUUUAAUAUGCAGCCCAAAUAAUUCUGAUGCAUGUGGUCCCUGUAUAGCACUUUGAAAAAAGCACUGGCAUAGAGACAUAAUUUAUUAAGAGCAAUGUUAACACUUUCAAAAAGCCCCCUAUAUUCUCUGCUGUACUGAGUUGCUUGAAACAAAAUACACACAUACUAUCAUGUAGGCUGACCCUCUGGUCCCUUCAAUGUAUAUUAAUGGAUAUCAUUCUGUUUUUAUGCUAAGAAGCAUAGAGGGACAGUUACCUGUUUUUCUUUGUGAAUUCCAGGAACAUCUGUUGCCUAACACCUGGCGGUGUCUGUAACAGGUGUAUGCUCAAGAUAGCAGUGAUAAAAAAUCAUAUGAUUUUGGCCCAGAUCACAAUUUGCAGCCUGUUAUUCCUGCCAAAUGGGUCAGUUGAGUUGGAAACCACAGCUGUGUGUUAAUAAUUUAGGGGAAGUGUCACCAUUUAAAAGAAAGAGCAUAAGAAUAUGGAAUAACUUGGGGAAUGAGAGAGAAAAUUUUCAACUGCUCAGGAACUUAAUUUUCUUUCUUGUCCUCUCAUCCCCUCCUUACUCAUCCCCCCAAAGCAUUAACUACUUUUAAGACUUUAUGACAGAGGUGAAAAUUAGGAAGUUGUUUGAACAAAAGAAAACAGUUCUGUAAAUGGUGGAGACCUCAUUUGGGAGGCCCUCAGGUUGUCUGGUUCAAAUCCUUCAUUAUGCAGACGAGGAAAUGGAGGCCCAGGAAUAUUAUGUGAUUGAGCCAGGUGACAGGCUAUAUUAUCUUUUAUCUGUCUGGAACCCAAAGCACAGCUAGAGUCCAGGUGUCAGAUGUAGUUCAUUAUUCUUCCCAUACUACCACAACAUGUUAGCUCAGAGUUCUAGGCAAGGGAAGUGACUAAUGAUAUUCCCUCUGCCACAGUGGAAGUUGUAUGACAGCAGGCACUUUGCCUAUCUUUUCCUCUGCUGUAACCUCAGCAUUUAAAGUUCUGCAAGGCACUUGUGAGUACUUGGUAAGGCCUAGUAGCUUCUACUUUUUUUUUCUGGGAAACCUAAGGUGCCUGGAAGAAAUUCGGCUAUUCUGAUGGAGAGACCAUAUGGAGAGAUCAUGUGCACUCUUGAAACCUAUGAAAAAGACUUAUUUGGAAAUAGGGUUUUUGCAGAUGUCAUCAAGUUAAAAUGAGGUCACACUAGAUUGGAUGCAACAUAAAUCCAAUGGCUGGCAUCCUUAUAAGAGGACCAUGGGAAAAACACACACAGGAAGAAAGAAAGCUGUGUGAUGACAGGGGCAGAGAUUGUGGUGAUUCAGCUGCAAUCCAAGGAAUGUCAAGGAUUGGCAGCAAUUUCCAGAAUCCAGAAGAAGUGAGGAAGAAUUCUUCCCUAGAGCCUUCAGUAGGACCAUGGCUGCACCGAUACCUUGAUUUUGAGUUUCUAGCCUCUGGAACUGUAAGAGAGUAAAUAUCUGUUGUUGUAAGCUACCCAUUUGUGGUACUUUGUUAUGGCAGCCCUAGGACACUAAUACAAGAAGAGAGGUCUUGAAACUACAUGGGGAGAGAAUGAGUCUCACUAUCCAGCAUUCUGCUGAAUCCUUCCAUUCAGUCUAGCCCUAGCUGCCAUUGACCACAACCACAUGAGAGACUCCAAGUAAGACAAGAAGUUCUGCCAAGGGGUCUCAGACACAUUCAUGUUGAUGGCAUGGGACAUCUUGGACAUUCCAGCCCCAUAGAGCAUCCAGAUAACUACAGCCCCAGCUGCUGCCAUGUGGAAUAGAAGAACCACCCCGCUGGGCCCGGUCAACCCACCAAAUUGUGAGAUAAUAAAAUGGUUGUUUUAGCUGUGACAUUGUGGGGUGGUUUUCUACAUAGCACUAGAUGACCAAAUAUUUGAGCUCCCUAGAAACAGACUCUGAGAUAAUGAAGUGAUUUAUUAGGAUGUGUUCCCAGGAAACAAAUGGUGGUGGCAUGGGCAAGUGAGGCAGUAGAGGAAGACAACCAAGCAAGGAUGUGACAUCAAGCGAAGUCCCAUGGAGGUUAAGUGUGAUCUAAUCCUGCCAGGAGCUCUGGAUAUGGUGUAAUUCAUAACUCAGUAUUGUCCCCAUCAGGGUCCUAGGUACUGGAGUACCAAAACUCCCUUACCCUUCAGUCACUGGUUAAGAGCUUUCCUGGGGAUAUGUAAACUGUCAGUCACUUCUGGUUCUCAGGCGGAGCAGGUCAGGGGAUGGAUGUUAGCAGCCUGAGGGCGGCUCUCCAGCAAGGAUACACUAGUGCUGGCCUUCGGGAACAAAGGUGCGCACAGAAAUAGUGUGUGGAAUGGUUAAAAGCAGGGUGACCAGUGUAUCCCCGUUUGCCAGGGACUGUCUUUAUUUAAAAUGGAAAGUCCUGGGCACCUGGGUGGCUCAGUUGGUUGAGUGUCCAAUUUCAGCUCAGGUCAUGAUUUCAUGGUUUGUGGGUUUGUGCCCCGCGAAGGGCUCUCUUCUGUCAGUCCAAAGCCUGCUUCAGAUCCUCUGUCUCCUUCUCUCUGCCCUUCUUCCGCUCACGUUCUCUCUCUUUCUGUCUCUCAAAAAUGAAUAAACAUUCAAAAAUAUAAAAUGGUAAGUCCCACAUCUGAGAAGCCCCCUCAGUCCUAGGCAAACCACACAGUUGGUCACCCUAGAAAGAGAUUAUGGGAUGCAUGAGCAGAGCCUGAUGCUUCUCCCCCGGUAAAUGCAUGAAUAUCCCCAGCUGGGUAAGUGGGGCCUGCAGGAUUCAUUGGAGGCAUCUUCGCCAGGAAUGCUGGAGGUCAACUAGCUGCCAAGGACCCUUUUAAUGUUAAGAACCUGUGACCUAUAACAGGUAUAAAUUGUUUCAAACUUUUUUACACACUGCGGAGGGGCUGAGGGGGAUCAGUGUGGGGAAACAUCUAGCUGGGCAGUGAGAGGCACGAGUAAGACAAGAGGGGCAGGAAGCACAUGGGUAUGACUAGGAGCUGGGCUGGAAUGUGAAACUCAACACAGAGCACACAGCACAACGUCAUCUACAGAUCUAAGGGGAAUGAGAGGCUGAAAACCUGGAGUCAGAGGAAGGACAGGGCUGGGAAGAGAUCAAUUUACUCUCGUCAGGAUAUUUUUUUGAAAAAAAAAAAGAAAAAAGAAAAAAAUGUUUUGACCAGAAUGAUUAUUUUUUGGAGGCUUUCUGAAGGAAAGGAGUUUAUGGAUACAAAUGAAGGUGAAAGUCUGUCUUGGGAGGGGUGAGGCUGGUGUCUCUAGCGGGGCAAGAAGUGGAGCCCUGUGGCCAUGAACUGAAGGAGUUCUCAAACACUAGACAGAGUGGACGUUCAGGCUGCCUCUGUGAGAGAACAGCAGCGGCAGCAGCCUGCAAUAGCCUUUAUUUCAUAUUUCAUUAGAUAGAAGCAUCAAAGAGUAUCAAAGCAAGGAAAGAGAACACAAAGGAUCUUUAGACAUUAGCCAGACAUACGUCUGGUGGCUACGUGAAGGCACGAAGGGGGUGCGUGUGGUUUCAAGGAAUGUCAGGGAGUUACAGCAGAUGUUGUAUCUUAACUGUCCUUUGGGGGAUCAUGCGGCUCUGUCCUCAUAGUGCUAUCUCAUUCGACAGCCUUGAGAACAGAACAUUGCUGAUGUUUCAACUAUUACCCCAUUCACCCUUCAGGACUUACAAUAGAAAUGGUCCUCCACAGAGCCCCAGUCACCUCAAUUGCAAGCAGAGAAGCUAGUGUAUGUAACUAACAGCAUGGAAAUAAGGAAUUUCUUAGGAAGAAUGGGAAGUCUUCAAUGAGGGAAGGCAACAACAAUGGGGAGAUUCUUUAAGUGUUACAGAUUAAUGAAUGGUUUGAGAACAAUAAACAUAAAUAUACUCAUUUAAUCGCAGAAUAUCAGAUAAAAGGGGCAUUUUGAAAGCAAGAAGGAAAUGCCUGUAGGAUAAAUAAAGGGAAUGAUAUUUUAUUUAAAUUCCACAAGUAAAUAUAUGGAAGAGGCUUACAAGAGAGUGUAAUACUAGCCUCAAUUGGUAAAGAGGUUCAAGACAGGCUUAGACAGUUUAGUGAGUGCAAAUCCAUCUCAGAUUAAUAGGGAAAGGUAUUUAAGAUUUUCCUGUUUAUUUUUUAAAUUUUCCUUUUAUUCUAAAUAUUUAGAAAAUAUAAAAGAUCAUACAGUGAAAACUUGCUCUCUUGCACUUGUCCCACGUCUGUCCAGUCCCUGCCACAGUCCCAAUAGGUGAUCACGGGUUUCUUAUAUGUCGUUAAAAAUAUUUUGUAAAGUGCAUAUAAAAGCAAAUAGGAAUAAGUCCUUUGAUGGCAGGGAGUUUAGUCUGUUUUCUUCAGUGACUAUUACCCCACUCCUAGAAAAGUUCCUGGGAUAUCAAAGGUGUUCAAAAAGUAUAUGUUAAAUGAUCAAAUAUAUUCACCCUCCGAAUUUUUAAAUAGUAGGAUCCUAUACUCACUCAUUUGUAUCGCAUCUUGCUUUAUUAUGUCCUCAAGAUCUUUCCUUAUUGGUACAUAAAGACCUCUUUCAUCCUUUCUUUUAGAGCCCAGUUAUGUUCCACUGCAUGGAUGUACCAUAAUUUAUUUGACCAGUCUCUUAUUAAUGGCCACUUAGUCCCACAUUUUUGUUAUUACAAACAUAUGGUGAUGAAUAAUCUUGUGUGAUUUUUGCACCUGUAGGAUGAGUUCCUAGAAGUACAACACCAGUUUUUAUGAAGUCAUGUCCUCCCCCAAAUAUCUCAGAUAUUAGUGACAAAAUUCUCAAUCAACUGGAACACUGAUCCGCCUGAAAGCAGGCAUUUCUUAUGUUCUUUUCAGGGUCACUGGGGUUUACUAAUGCCAGGUGUCUUUGGUCUGCUUUCUGAAAAGCACAGAGAUUUGUAGAAAGAGAAAUAGUGAACAGUGUUGGAUGCAGUGAAAUUGACACAUGGGUGCUCAAGAUGGUGCUGAAAGAUCAUAGUGGGAUCAAAUAUAAAAUCCCAGAAAUCCCACACAAAUCUUGUGUGGCCAGUGUUGUAAGCUGACUGUUUUCACUGUGAGGCAUAGGCUUUAAUUGCUAUAUAUGUGUACAAUAAUACACAUCUGUAGUUUCAAUAUUUUUCUGAGGACGUUUGAGGACCCAGGCCAAUACAUAAUGGCUUUUUUGCCAAUCUUCUUUGCCAUAGCCUUUCGUUUUCAUCAUAGCCUUGGGGCUUUGAUUUUAUUAGUUUGGUCAGACUGUGACACUGGGGACAUCAGGCUGAAAUGACAGCUUCCCACGUGCUUUAUCUCAGUGUUGUUUCUUACAGGGGAAGUAACUGCCGAAUCGGACAUGGAUGAUGGUGCUAUAAGAAAACAUUCUCUGAAUCCUUAACCCAGGCACACAUGGCUGUGCUUCUUUUCACUGCCAUAUUUCCAUCUGAAACGUGAAGAUAAUGAUACAUGCCUUGCACCCUUUGAGAAUGUGGUGGUGAAUAUUAAUGACAUAAGCUUCAAAAUACAGUUUGAGCUCUUCAGGCCUGAGGUCCUUGAUAAAAAUUGGGUUAUAGAACUAGGGAGAUAAAGGGGCACAGUCCAACCAUGACCAUUUUUCAUUAUAGAGCACCUUGACAGCUGCUCUAUGCCUCUAACUCCAGUACAAUACCUGGGAACUGUCAGUAUAGUGCAUAUGGAUUUUUAAUACUUUGCUUUAUCUUCCUAUGUUCUAACUGCCAGGGACUGUGGGUUGUUUAUUCAGUCAGCAGAUAUGUUUCAAAUGUUCACUGGAUUCUGACGGAGGUGCCUGUCUUGGGAAGAGCCCUGGGUUGCUGGCCAGGAGGCCUGCUUUGCUCAGACUCCAUCCCACCCACGUGGAAUGUCCUAAGCAGCCUACCCUACCUGAGCCUCUGUUGUCUUUUCAUUAGAGCCGAGUGAUGAUCUCUGCCCUGUGUGUCUCUGCGUAUGAAUAGGAACAUUCAGCAAGAAUAGAAAUACAAGCUUGUUCAGUAGCAUAAGGCCCGUUAAAGAUGAGUAUGAUUAUUAAUGUCUAUAUGGGGUGCCUCCUCAAGAUGGAAAGAAAACAGAUGUCAGGAAACAAAGACUGCAUCCUGUAAGCCAGGGCUUCCCGUCUGCAACUGAACUAUAAACCAAGAACAUAUCCACAUUUUCUACUGUGAUAUAUCAAAAUGAUAUAGGUCUGCAUAUGUGUAAAAAUAUGUAUGUAGGAUAUUUGUAAAAUAUGCAUAUAUGGAUUAUAAAAUAUAAAGCUAUCAAUUCUUCAGUUAUGACAACAGCAGAAAGAAUCUUCCUUUCAGGUGGCUCACAUUGAACUGUCCUAUGAGGGAAUUGGUCUUCUGUCCCCUGGAAGAACCAGGAAAUGUCAAAGGGGCCCCGUGCCAAAGUCAGAGCCCUGUCAGCAUGCAUUCCCACCCUGGCAAUAGUCCCGUGGCCUUGGGAUGGCUUUAGGAGCCUGGUACAGAUUCUAUUCCAACAGCUCCAGAGGCUCAGUGAGAGGAAAAAUAUCUGUUGAUUUUUUUUUUUUUCCUGAAAGUGGAUGGGUAAACAGAAGCUGGUACCAUAGGUACUUCGAGUUGGGGUAUCUUCCAAUUUUUGGUUAAGGUUUAUAGUCUGGAUCUUUUUUUUUUUUUAAUGUUUAUUUUAUUUUUGAGCGAGCACAUGAAUGGGGAGGGGCAGAGAGAGAGGGAGACACGGAAUCCUAAAUAGGCUCCAGGCUCCAAGCUGUCAGUACGGAGCCCUAUGUGGGGCUUGAACUCAUGAACUGUGAGAUCAUGACCUGAGCCAAAGUUGGACACUCAAGCAACUGAGUCAUCCAUGCACCCCUGGAGUCUGGGUCUUUAUGUAAAAUUCUCAUUUUUGAAUGUUGGCAUGUGUACAGACAUACACAUACAUCCACAGAUCAUUAUGUGAGAGAAACUGGAGUGGUCUCUCUAGGGGUCCUUGGAGAAGGAGAGGGUGUCCUCUCUAGAGGAGAGGGUGGUACCAGCCAAGAGGAACAGACAUGUUUAGAACCUAGCACUGUGGCAACAUUAUUGUGUUCUCUCCUUCUGGAGCUCAGCCUGACCACCAAGGUGGGGAUGGAUAGGCCACUGUGUAAACAUCUAUCACUUUCCUAGGGACUGGCUGUUAAGGAAGGCCACUUUAGCACUGUUUUAGAUUUCCCAUUUGGUUGGUCAAAGUUCAUGGGUCUCCCCGGCCAUUAGGGAGUUAACAUGUGAAUCAUGGAACUGUUCUAAAAGCCAUGUAAGUGUCUAAGGUAAACUACAGGAGCCACAUUACAGGAAAGGUGGAUCCAUGAAGUGGAACUAAUGGUGACCCCUAUAACCAUAAACCUAGCUACUUCUAAUAAGGGGAAAAGGUAACAGGCUGAUGAUUAUCAUCCUUGCACUUGUAAAAUGGCAGUGCUGAAAUCUAAUUGCUAAGCAACAGAUUUCCUAUAAGGUGAUUCCUAGGAACUGGUUUGCUCCAGAAUUGGGAGGAUAAGGAUAAAUAAUACCAAAUGAGGGGCACCUCGGUGGCUCAGUUGAGAGUCCGACUCUUGGUUUUGGCUCAGGUUAUGGUCUCACAGUUUCGUGAGUUGGAGCCCUAUGGUGGGCUCUGUGGUGAUGGCCUGGAGCCUGGUAGAGAUUCUCCCUCUCUUCCUGCCGCUCCCCUGCUCACACACUCUCUGUCUCGCUCUGUCUCUGUCUCUCUUUCUCAAAAAAAAAAAAAAAAAAAGCCUUUCUAACAGCUAGGAAAAGAGUUUUUUAAAAAACAGUAAUAAUACCAAAUGAUUCAUUGUCUUGCUUCUUUUGACUCCCUGGAAUUUCCCAAAUGCUAAGCAACGGGCGAGAAAGUGUCUGCCAGGGCACAGGAUGCAACUAUGAAUUUGGAGAGAGCACUUCUGUUCAGCUGAUUAUUUCAAUUUUCUCAUCCAUAAAAGGGGAUGGCCAAAGAACACUUUUUCAAUGCUCUGCAAAAGCCGAUUUGGAAACCAAAGGCUUAACUCUUUUCUUUUCUCUCACUGUUAAGCCUGUAUGUAGAAAUCAACCACAUCUAAUUUAAUCACACCUGCUUCUAUUUUGAUGAUAAGAUCAGAUUAUAAGGUAAGGAAUAGAAGCCCAGGGAAGGAAGAAGGUGGGCCAGAGGUGGUGCGUUUGAGCACACAUUGAACACCUAAUACGAGCGAUCACAUACAUUAUCCCAUUGUAUACAGCCUCCCCAGAGGGAGGAAUCAUUUACCAUCGUUUUACAAUGAAGCGAGUUUCCUUUUUGAAGGUUUGUUCCAAUUACAAAUCAGUGUGUAAAAUAAAACUCAUACACAAGAAAUGAAGGAGGAGGAGAAAAAGGGAAACGUUGGAAGUUUAUUCUCACUUACUUUUAAUUUAUUUGAUUAAUCCUUCUUAGUUUCCUUCCUCUGGCCAGUUCUUAAAGGCAAGCAUUUCCGUACAUUGAUUUUGUAUCCUGCAACUUUGCUGAAUUCAUGUAUCAGUUCUAGCAGUCUUUUGGUGGAGUCUGUCGGAUUUUCCAUGUAUAGUAUCAUGUCAUCAAGGUAAGCAUUUCCAAUCCUUGGUCCCUUCCCCAGUCUCAGUUUCUGCUUGAGGUACAGCCUCCUGGUAGAUGAUUCCCAUCUCUGGUCCUGAUUCUGCCCUACAUUCUAGAGCCACAUCAGCCUUGCCCGCUCCCAGCUAGCCACCUGUAUGUGUAAAUGAGUGGGGCUGACCUGCUAAUGGCCAACUGGUGUGUAUUGGGCUAAAGUCACUCCAGCCUUGUCCAUAAUCCCAGUGAUAUUAGGACUAAAUAUCACCUCCCCAAACCAAGAAAUAAGAAAUCUGACUGAAGGGAGCCAUUUUGGAUCAGCAGCACCUUCUGGAAAUAAUACUUGGAGGCUGCUGACAGAUUUCUGAAGGGCCAUGAGGUUUUCUGGUAUCUUGGGCUUUGGGGAUUUCCCUCCAAGGUGUGGUCACUGCAGAAAGAGUCCCACCCAAUAUCCCUACCUACUUCCACUUUCCCUACCAGCCCAGGCCUGAGGAACACCAGAUCCUGCUCUCACUCUCCGUGACCUGACAUUACCUAAGUUAGCGUUUGGUAUCAUACUAACUCUCUCUGAUCCCUGGCCUGCAGCCCCUGGAUGACACUCAAAAACUGCCACUUCCUGAUUCCAGAGUGGACUAAAUCUUGACAUCCCUGGGCAGACUUGGUCUUUGCCAUCCUAGUCCCCUCCAAGGAAACAGAAGCUUGGUCCUUUUCUCAUAUUCCGUUUUAGUUUCUAGGCAGUUUCCUCUACCAUCUCCCAUUACAAAAUAUCCCAUGCCAAAUUUGACUGACAGUUGUUGCAGCUAUUUUUGGGGGGG
This is a long non-coding RNA of Acinonyx jubatus (cheetah), 11252 nucleotides long. RefSeq lists it as uncharacterized. The transcript is spliced from 3 exons. NCBI's taxonomy places the organism in Eukaryota, Metazoa, Chordata, Mammalia, Carnivora, Felidae. The record is from RefSeq and is a predicted model, not a curated record.